Molecule: long non-coding RNA, 574 nt
Organism: Mesocricetus auratus (golden hamster)
Lineage: Eukaryota; Metazoa; Chordata; Mammalia; Rodentia; Cricetidae
Exons: 3
Source: RefSeq, a predicted model, not a curated record
AACAUGUAACGCCAUGGGGGUAGGAAGCCUGGAACUAUUCUCCGGUACUUCGGAACACUAGCAGAAGCCAGGCAGUGCCUCCAAGAACCCAAGGGGAAAGCAACCUUGAACACAACAGGGCAACAACAACCCAUUUGCCUUAUGUUCUUCUCCACUCAGAGGUCCCAAGUAUAUGUGAGCAAGCAAGCAAGCAAAACCCAAAGCAGAAUAACAAAGCCAUACUGUGACAGAAUAAAGAACGUCUUUGCUGAGAGAAACUUCCAAAUACACCGGAGAGCUUGCUUUCAUGUUAUCCCAUGUGUGGACAAGGUAGGACUGAAAUACACCAUCAGCUGCCUGUGGAAGAGACCUCAGAAGAGACCAUGGAUUUUUCACAACUUGAUCUUUCAUUUUCUAUCUCCAGAACGCUUGUUGAAGCCACUUGGCCUGAUUUUGUCAUGCUAGAUCAAACUGACUAGGAUCAAUAAAUCACACCAUUCAAUGAUGGCAUAUUCUACAUUAUUCCUAAGCUCGCAUAGAACAUUUACCAAUAGCAGUAGACUCUGCAGAAGGAGAAGCACCUUAACAAAUUUAA